AAGAGGUUGUGGAGAAAAAGGAGAGAGAGGAUAGAAGAGACAGAGAGUAAGUAGAGAUAAAAUAGAGAUAUUUUGGUCAGUUGUUAAAAAAUUCGUUCUGACCCUGUAAAAACAAAAAAAAAUAACCCACUUUCGAAAAAUUCUAAUAAUAUUUUAUAUAAAUAAUUUAGAUUAUUAUACUACAAAGAAAUUUUUAUUUCC
RNAcentral lists this long non-coding RNA (201 nucleotides) under Ananas comosus (pineapple). RNAcentral describes it as "long non-coding RNA (ACOM_LNC034367)". The record is from RNAcentral. Lineage: Eukaryota; Viridiplantae; Streptophyta; Magnoliopsida; Poales; Bromeliaceae.